RNAcentral lists this ribosomal RNA (253 nucleotides) under uncultured bacterium. Its description in RNAcentral is "partial 16S ribosomal RNA". It matches the Rfam family "Bacterial small subunit ribosomal RNA", at positions 524 to 776 of the family's 1533-position model. The record is from RNAcentral.
UACAGAGGGUGCAAGCGUUGUUCGGAAUUAUUGGGCGUAAAGGGAGUGUAGGCGGCAUUGAAAGUCUUCUGUGAAAUCUACGGGCUCACCCCGUAACGUGCAGAGGAUACUACAAAGCUAGAGUGUCGGAGAGGAUAGUGGAAUUCCAGGUGUAGAGGUGAAAUUCGUAGAGAUCUGGAGGAACACCAGUGGCGAAGGCGACUAUCUGGCUGACAACUGACGCUGAGACUCGAAAGCAUGGGGAGCAAACAGG